Molecule: non-coding RNA, 772 nt
Organism: Camelina sativa (false flax)
Lineage: Eukaryota; Viridiplantae; Streptophyta; Magnoliopsida; Brassicales; Brassicaceae
Source: RefSeq, a predicted model, not a curated record
GUUUUGGAGAUGUACAUCAUAGUUAUCACAGUAGGAGCUUUCUUCUUUUGGGAUUUGGAUGAAAGUUUGCUGCUAAGUUUGCUCUGAUGGAUGUAAUGUCUUUAGAGCGAUCAUGAAGAAGACCAAAGGAGAUGAUACACUGGUUCCAGUUUUAUCAGCACAUUUAAGCAUCUUAUUGCACAUAAGCUAGCGGAAGAAGAAGCUGAACUUUAAGCUAAGGAUCAAGCUAGAAAGGCUAAACAUUUGGACGAAGAACAUGUUAAACUUGGAAAUUAGUUGGAUAGCCAUGAAAGAUUCUAAUUGGUGUUGCCACUAGAUCUAAAAGAUAAACAAGGCGUAACAUGCUCAGAAGGGUUUGAAUCCUUCCUGGUCAAGAGAUACUAAAGGUAGGCUUAAGAUACUGAUAUUUUUAGGGUGUUUUAGAUUUAAAAUAUGUGAUAUGUUAUGUAGGUUUUAGUUCCGAGUCCUCCAUACAAAUUCCAUGACUUCGGUUUUGACUUUGAGCAAUGUGGAAAAGCGAUCCGUGUUUAGAAUAUGCACCUUGGAAUGGAGGUUAGCCAAAUGCGUCAGUGAUAACAUCUUAAAUGUCUUUCUAAUCUCAAUCAGUACAAAUUUAAAAUUCUGAUUUUAGUUAUUGGAGAAGUUGUUGUUUGUUCAACUCUGAGAACCGGAUGGAAUCUUAAGAGAAUCAUUGUUGAGGUGAAUAUCAUUUUGUUGUGUCUUUCUAGCACCAUCGAUGCUACUCUAUAUAUAAUUGAUCUCUUUUACUUUU